RNAcentral lists this ribosomal RNA (253 nucleotides) under uncultured bacterium. Its description in RNAcentral is "partial 16S ribosomal RNA". It matches the Rfam family "Bacterial small subunit ribosomal RNA", at positions 524 to 776 of the family's 1533-position model. The record is from RNAcentral.
UACAGAGGGGGCAAGCGUUGUCCGGAAUUAUUGGGCGUAAAGAGCUCGUAGGCGGCUUGGCACGUCGGGUGUGAAAGCCCGGGGCUUAACUCCGGUUCUGCAUUCGAUACGGGCUAGCUAGAGUGUGGUAGGGGAGAUCGGAAUUCCUGGUGUAGCGGUGAAAUGCGCAGAUAUCAGGAGGAACACCGGUGGCGAAGGCGGAUCUCUGGGCCAUUACUGACGCUGAGGAGCGAAAGCGUGGGGAGCGAACAGG